GAUGAAGAACGUAGCGAAAUGCCAUACUUGGUGUGAAUUGCAGAAUCCCGUGAACCAUCGAGUCUUUGAACGCAAGUUGCGCCCGAAGCCAUCAGGUUGAGGGCACGUCUGCCUGGGCGUCACAUAUCGUUGCCCAAUGCCUAUUGCAGUGCAAUAGGAAUUUCUAGGGCGAAUGAUGGCUUCCCGUGAGCGUUGUUGCCUCGCGGUUGGUUGAAAAUCGAGUCCUUGGUAGGGUGUGCCAUGGUAGAUGGUGGUCGAGUUAGAACGAUACCGAUCAUGUGCAUGCUCCCCAAAAUAUGGCCUCUAUGACCCACACGCGUCUUUUGACGCUCAUGACGAGACCUCAGGUCAGGCGGGGCUACCCGCUGAAUUUAAGCAUAUCAAUAAGCGGAGGA
This 395-nucleotide unclassified non-coding RNA is filed under the name soil metagenome. RNAcentral describes it as "partial contains 5.8S ribosomal RNA, internal transcribed spacer 2, and large subunit ribosomal RNA". The stretch from base 1 to 122 matches the Rfam family "5.8S ribosomal RNA", at positions 35 to 154 of the family's 154-position model. The record is from RNAcentral.